RNAcentral lists this transfer RNA (94 nucleotides) under Planctomycetota bacterium. Its description in RNAcentral is "Planctomycetes bacterium (freshwater metagenome) tRNA-Ser". It matches the Rfam family "tRNA". Rfam says of the family: Transfer RNA (tRNA) molecules are approximately 80 nucleotides in length. Their secondary structure includes four short double-helical elements and three loops (D, anti-codon, and T loops). Lineage: Bacteria; Pseudomonadati; Planctomycetota. The record is from RNAcentral.
GGAGAGGUGGCUGAGCGGCCGAAAGCGACGGUUUGCUAAACCGUUAACGGGGCCUAAACCCUGUUCCCGGGUUCGAAUCCCGGCCUCUCCGCCA